This 258-nucleotide unclassified non-coding RNA is filed under the name fungal sp. Its description in RNAcentral is "partial internal transcribed spacer region". The stretch from base 1 to 46 matches the Rfam family "Eukaryotic small subunit ribosomal RNA", at positions 1786 to 1831 of the family's 1831-position model. Lineage: Eukaryota; Fungi. The record is from RNAcentral.
AAGUCGUAACAAGGUAACCGUAGGUGAACCUGCGGUUGGAUCAUUAUUAAAGUAAAGCUUAAAGAGCUUUCAAAAACCGCUUGGGUUCCUACUUGGUAAAACAUUUAGGGCCCAAGUCAACCUUGUGUGAACCGUUAAUUGUACUUGGCAAUGCCUAGUCUAACUAGCUUGCCACUUUUAUUAAACACCCUUUUUUAUUUAGUCUUAAUCAAAUAUAAAAAUUUGAAACAACUUUUGACAACGGAUCUCUUGGCUCUC